RNAcentral lists this ribosomal RNA (254 nucleotides) under uncultured bacterium. RNAcentral describes it as "partial 16S ribosomal RNA". It matches the Rfam family "Bacterial small subunit ribosomal RNA", at positions 524 to 776 of the family's 1533-position model. The record is from RNAcentral.
UACGUAGGUGGCAAGCGUUGUCCGGAUUUACUGGGCGUAAAGAGCGCGCAGGCGGUCGGACAAGUCGCGUGUGAAAGCCCCCGGCUCAACUGGGGAGGGUCACGCGAUACUGGUCGACUCGAAGGCAGGAGAGGGUAGUGGAAUUCCCGGUGUAGUGGUGAAAUGCGUAGAUAUCGGGAGGAACUCCAGUGGCGAAGGCGACUACCUGGCCUGUUUCUUGACGCUGAGGCGCGAAAGCUAGGGGAGCAAACGGG